This 64-nucleotide transfer RNA is filed under the name Oceanodroma monorhis (Swinhoe's storm-petrel). RNAcentral's name for it is "Hydrobates monorhis (Swinhoe's storm-petrel) tRNA-Ser". The record is from RNAcentral. Lineage: Eukaryota; Metazoa; Chordata; Aves; Procellariiformes.
AGGGGUGGUUCAACCAACAAGAACUGCUAAUUCUUGUAUCUGGGCUUAAAAUCUCAGCCCCCUU